Pararge aegeria (speckled wood butterfly) is the source of this 1168-nucleotide long non-coding RNA. RefSeq lists it as uncharacterized. The record is from RefSeq and is a predicted model, not a curated record. NCBI's taxonomy places the organism in Eukaryota, Metazoa, Arthropoda, Insecta, Lepidoptera, Nymphalidae. The transcript is spliced from 5 exons.
UGACAAAUUCUGACGUUUUUAAUUUUUCCAACGAAUUAUUUUAGUUCAAAAGUUCAUGUGAAAGUGUUGUGUUCUUUUAAACUAUUUCUGGGGAUCUGAUCUGCUCUUUUGACUAACGACUGUGCUUUGUUCUUGAUAUCUGCAAUAAUUGUUUGACCCUGAUUCUCCCUUGGACCUUGUGAUAGAUACUUUAACGAUUGACUAAACGCUGUGCAUACCGGACUUUUGUUUCGAUUUGGAUUUUAACUUUCAUUAUGCCUAGAAAGUCUGCCUUCAAGUGCUAUUUUGGAUGUAGUCCUUAUAAAGGAAGAGUUCAUCACUUCCCACCAAAGGAAUACCCUUAUGAGGAAAAAUUUAAUCACUGGAAAAUGGUGUUAAAUGAUUCAGAUUAAGAAAAGGGGGACACAUACAUAUACAACAACAUACAUAACUGUAAUCACCAUUUUGAAGAUUUCUAUAUAACAGCCAGUGGACGUCUUACUAAAAAUGCUGUUCCAACAUUGAAUAUUGGAACACACCAAGCUGCCAAUCAUGCAAUGUACCUGCCUACAUGUACUACUGAGCAUAACAAAAUAUCUGAUAAUGCAGAUGCCAAUUCUGGCCAAGGGAUAACAUGUGAAAUUGUGCCAUUGAUUGAGAAUCCACCUGCAGUGAUUUCACUAAUACGUUUUUGUGACAAAAAAGGCACAAAAUCCGGUAAAGUGAAAUGUUCCAAUGAAUAUGCUCAGUUGAAAAUUAAACAUUUAAAACUUAAGGAAAAAUGAAAAACCUAACCUUACUUAAGGAAAAAAAAAUUUUGUCAGCACAAUGCCUCGAAGGAACACUAACAAGGAAAGAGACUACACUAGAAGGUCACUUAACUAUCCAUCGGAGGCAUUGUGCGAGUUUAUAGAUGAUGUUUUUGCAUUGUCAUUCAAACACAAUUAAAUGAAGAACCACAGCAACAGCAUCUACAAUAAAGCAAAUUGCAAAUGUAUUUUGUAAUUGGUUACAUUUCUCCUAUGUUGCUCAUAAAGACGGAGUACAUAAUUUUUUAAUGGAUGCAAUAAUGAAUAUAAUAAUUAAUAGCUAAUGCACUAAUGUCAACAGAUUACUGAAAGGUAAAAGUAAUGUCUAAUAAUAUUGAUUUAUGUAGACCGACGCAGGAGGACUCAAGAAAAUAUCAAUA